GAUCUAACUACAAAGGAAAACCGAUCAGAGUUAUCAAUUUUAACGAAAACUCAUACAUUAGGAAGCUAAGGGAGGAAAACGAGAGAUUGCUAGACGAA
Molecule: unclassified non-coding RNA, 98 nt
Filed under: Komagataella phaffii CBS 7435
Lineage: Eukaryota; Fungi; Ascomycota; Pichiomycetes; Pichiales; Pichiaceae
Source: RNAcentral